Acanthosepion pharaonis is the source of this 110-nucleotide non-coding RNA. The record is from the annotation of a GenBank genome assembly. Lineage: Eukaryota; Metazoa; Mollusca; Cephalopoda; Sepiida; Sepiidae.
UGGCUACAUCAUGUUGGAACACUGAUUCCUAUAUGAUCACCAAAGUUAUGCAAUGUUGAGCCUGGUUAGUAACUUGAUGGAUAACCCCUUGGGAAUACCAGGUGCUGUAA